GCAUCCUGUCCACACAGUGGACAACAAUAUGCCUCUCAUUGGUGAGGUCUGUUUUUCAUUCUUUGGUAUGCUUACUGUUAUGUAUUCAGUGGUCUGUGUUUGCCUGAGCUUGAGUCUGGACUAAGGAUUCCAAGCCCCUGUGUUCUGAUUCAAUACAUGAUAUCCAUUCACAGAACAUUUCAGGAUUUGGGCCAUUGCCAUUGGCCCUUAAACUCUGAGUUAUGAUUUGCAGCUUGGGAGUUUAGACAGCCAAUCACGUUGAGAGUGGCCGUGGCCCAAGCCUUCAGCAAUGUAUAUAGGCAGUUGCUUUGCCCCUGUUGUCCAGUUCAGUUAGUUCAAUAAAGGUUCUUUACUGUUUCUCAAAAAGCACUUAAGGAGGGUAGGUGUGACCUAGGGUAAGUUCUGAAGACCAGAACUCCCUCCUUCUGAGGGAGACCUAGAUGGCCACAAAGGGUGCCUGAAGCUGAUGUUGCCCAUCCCUGAACUAAAACGUAAGUGAUGACACCUUAGUAAGGUAAACGCAGCCUUGUACUCACUGAAAUUCUAAAGAAAACCUUAGAUGUCCUGUGAAUGAGGCAAAGCAAUGUAAAGGGAGGGGGCUUCAGAGAACGUGGAGUAGAGGCUUUGACACACUACGUAGAUGUGGCUCUGUGCCAUGAGUCUGUGUGUCUCAAUCUUUUCGAGCACCUGCUACUUGGAAGACUUGCCUCUUCACCUCCAGUCCAGGCAUAGCAAACUGUGAGGAAGAGGCUGUCAGUAAUUGAAUUUCUGUGCAGAUUCUGGAUAGGCUGAGCUUUACGGAUGGCAUGGCUAACUGCUUCAAUUUAGACUGAACAAAUACACAGCUAAUGCGCCAUGAGUGUGAUGCCCUGAUGGGGGUGAAAGGGCUUCUGUAAAGACCUGCUCAUCAGCGGCCCUCCCACUGCCAACGCCACAUUAUUCCGAGGAAUGCUGAUGAGCUUGGAAAUGGAUGCACAGCUGACAAACGCCCAGGGCUGGCAGAUUUCAAUCAGUAUAAAAGUCUGGUGGAGCCCAGGCUGGCCCAGGAAUAGGCAAUGCCUGCCUGAUGCCCUCUGGCUUACUCCAGCCCAUUUCCAGUGAGAAGCAUUUCAUGUUGCUGGCUGGAGGGGCAGGAAAAUCACUCACGGCGUGCACAUAAAACACUGCAUCCAAAGCAAUGGAUUCAAAUCAGAAGAAAGGAGAUUCCGGUUAAACAUUAGGAAGAAUUUUUGGGCGGUAAGAGCUGUUUGAUAGUGGAAGAGGCUACCUGGGAAGAUGGUGGACUUUCCUUCCUUGGCGGUUUUAAAACAGUGGUUGGCUAGCCAUCUGUCAGGGAUUCUUUAGCUGCCAUUCUUACAUUGUAGGGGUUGGACUUGACGAUCAUUUCCAGCACUACAGUUCUAUGAAGCACUGUGUUUGUUACAAAGCUUUGGCAGCCGCAAACAGUAUUGAAAGUAUGACAGUCCAGACAGCAUCAUGUGCACAAAUCAUUUUGAAAACACAAUAAAAAGGGUGUUUGGAGGGGCCCACAGUCACCACGGGUGCCAGGAUCAGUUUGUCUGUCUCUCCAUUGUACAGCUAAGGCUCAAGCCUUCUCGCUGCCAUGUGCCAAACCAGCCUUGGUUUGUGUCUGUGGAUCAGUGUGGCUCUGCUGCUCGUAAAAGGAGCCUGAGGCUCCAUCUAAGUCCUAAAUCAUGUCAGCAAAGGAGCCAGCCUCUAAUGAUAAAAUAUGAUCAUUGCCCCUGCCCCUUUUUCUGAGUCGGCAACAUUGGAAGUUGCCUCGGCGUCAGCGUCUUCCUUGUUACAAAUCUCUGCAACUACGGGAUGUGACAGGGCGCUGCACUUUACAUAUGAGAAGCACCUUCUGUAAAUCCUGCCACAUUAACCGCUGAGCUGUUUACUUUGACUUUCCUCUUUAUUUACAGCCUUUCAGCAAUGAGACCAGCCGAGAGUCGGGGAGAUGAAGAGCCGAGCUAUUCAUUCUCAGUGUCAGCUUGUCCUAACAUUUGGACAUAGGAGAAAAAAACAAACUGUUGGGCUGUUGAUUUCUCUCUCUCUCUGGUUCUUGGUAGCUUUGUUUGAAUUGGCACCGCACCGAAAGUUUUCCUUUUCCUUAUUUGUUUCCUUGGCAUAUGUGAGGUGGAAGGAGGUGGGCAAAUGGGGAGAAAAUUGCAGUACUGCAAAUCAUCCUCUCAUAAACUAAAGGGUAGAGCUCAAUCGAGCUUCUUUUUCUUUCCUUCCACAUGACAUGAUUUUAUUACUCAUACAAAUAUUGAGGCACAAAGUUGCCCAGUGUCACCAGUAUAUGCAAAUGUCUGGGUCAUCUAAGACAUUAUAGAACAUUUAUUCUCAAUAAUGAUUCAACUCACAAGUACAGAAC
Molecule: non-coding RNA, 2380 nt
Organism: Podarcis lilfordi (Lilford's wall lizard)
Lineage: Eukaryota; Metazoa; Chordata; Lepidosauria; Squamata; Lacertidae
Source: the annotation of a GenBank genome assembly